Long non-coding RNA from Frieseomelitta varia, 143 nucleotides. RefSeq lists it as uncharacterized. The record is from RefSeq and is a predicted model, not a curated record. Lineage: Eukaryota; Metazoa; Arthropoda; Insecta; Hymenoptera; Apidae. The transcript has 3 exons.
CCAGCUCGAAGACAUUUCUUCCACGUUCCGGGAGUGCGCAGCCCGAUUUAUCGACCGAUUCGGGGCAAGCGAUUCUCAUCGGUGAAAAAUAGCCUUAUGUUUCUAUCCGCUCUUCAUUCUUUUUUUGUUUGCAAGGAGAUCGC